UACGUAGGGGGCAAGCGUUGUCCGGAAUCAUUGGGCGUAAAGCGCGUGUAGGCGGUCCGGUAAGUCCGCUGUGAAAGUCGGGGGCUCAACCCUCGGAUGCCGGUGGAUACUGUCGGGCUUGAGUACGGAAGAGGCGAGUGGAAUUCCUGGUGUAGCGGUGAAAUGCGCAGAUAUCAGGAGGAACACCAAUUGCGAAGGCAGCUCGCUGGGCCGUUACUGACGCUGAGACGCGAAAGCGUGGGGAGCAAACAGG
Molecule: ribosomal RNA, 253 nt
Filed under: uncultured bacterium
Lineage: Bacteria
Description: partial 16S ribosomal RNA
Rfam family: Bacterial small subunit ribosomal RNA
Source: RNAcentral